RNAcentral lists this ribosomal RNA (425 nucleotides) under uncultured Syntrophaceae bacterium. Its description in RNAcentral is "bacterial SSU rRNA". It matches the Rfam family "Bacterial small subunit ribosomal RNA", at positions 954 to 1382 of the family's 1533-position model. Lineage: Bacteria; Pseudomonadati; Thermodesulfobacteriota; Syntrophia; Syntrophales; Syntrophaceae. The record is from RNAcentral.
AUGCAACGCGAAGAACCUUACCUGGGCUUGACAUCCCAAGAAUCCCUGGAAACAGGGAGUGCCCUUCGGGAGCUUGGAGACAGGUGCUGCAUGGCUGUCGUCAGCUCGUGUCGUGAGAUGUUGGGUUAAGUCCCGCAACGAGCGCAACCCUUGCCUUUAGUUGCCAUCAUUCAGUUGGGCACUCUAGAGGGACUGCCGGUGUCAAACCGGAGGAAGGUGGGAUGACGUCAAGUCCUCAUGGCCUUUAUGCCCAGGGCUACACACGUGCUGCAAUGGGCGGUACAAAGAGCAGCGAGCUCGCGAGAGUAAGCAAAUCUCAAAAAGCCGUCCUCAGUUCGGAUUGUAGGCUGCAACUCGCCUACAUGAAGUCGGAAUCGCUAGUAAUCGCGGAUCAGCACGCCGCGGUGAAUACGUUCCCGGGCCUU